UCUCUACUUUUCUUCAAAUUCACUAACAGUCCUUUAGAUGAGCGCAGCUCCACUGCCAACAAGAGCCUCCUCUCCCCUCCGACCUCCGCUUUGUCCUUGCUUUCUUCACUGCCUCUAGCUCCUCAGUACCUGAGUCGGCCAGCACAGGCCCAGGUCAAAGUCUCAGGACAACCACUUCAACUAGGGACACUGGGCCCUAGUGUAAGUGUAGAGUGUCUUGCAGUCUUGCAGCCCCACCCUGACAGCUCUCUGAAAAGUGGCUGUGAGAGUUACAGGAAGUCACAAUUCCAGAGCUGUUUAAACAGGAGUAGUUGUUAAUAAGCCCACCUUAGCAAGUAAUGUCACCAGUUUGUGGAUUCAGCUGUGGUUUGGUCCUCUUGUUGUGUAGAUAACCCUGUCACGUCCCAUUGACACCUCUCUGAGAGCAUUUCCUUUUUAGAAUGUUUGUUCCCUUGGUCCAGGCCUGGAACAAAACCACUGCCAUCUUUGCCCAUUUGGUAAAAAUCCUGUCAUGCUGCAAAACAGGAAAGAGUAAAUAAAGCAUCAGCCUGGUUCAGCUCAGUGAAAACAAAUGAGGAACUUCUUGAAGGAAUUUCUAAAGAACCAGUUAUAGAAAUAGCAGGCUAGGCUUCAUAGUGCGCAUCAGUAAUCCCAGCACGUGGGAAGCUGAGGCAGGGGGGUUGUGGGUUCCAGCCCAGUGUGGACUACAAAACAAAACCCUGUGUAAAAAAA
RNAcentral lists this long non-coding RNA (732 nucleotides) under Rattus norvegicus (Norway rat). RNAcentral describes it as "long non-coding RNA NONRATT015025". Lineage: Eukaryota; Metazoa; Chordata; Mammalia; Rodentia; Muridae. The record is from RNAcentral.